This 226-nucleotide long non-coding RNA is filed under the name Mytilus galloprovincialis (Mediterranean mussel). Lineage: Eukaryota; Metazoa; Mollusca; Bivalvia; Mytilida; Mytilidae. The record is from RNAcentral.
UGUUCCCAGAAUAAGUCUUAAGUAAAGUAAAUUUGCUUCGCGUUGUGUUUUAAAAUGGAAUAACUUGCACCAAAAAGGGGUGACUAAUUCUGGUAAACUGCACCGAAGGGGUGGCUUACUCUAGCCUCAAGUGAGAUGAUAUAUCCCCGAGAGUAUUUGGAGGCAUGUGCUAGGCCGACUUCGAUUGUUUAUAAAAUGAGAUGCCUAAUUUUGUCAUUGAUCAGGC